Molecule: ribosomal RNA, 207 nt
Filed under: uncultured bacterium
Lineage: Bacteria
Description: partial 16S ribosomal RNA
Rfam family: Bacterial small subunit ribosomal RNA
Source: RNAcentral
UACGUAGGCGGUUUGUUAAGUUGGAUGUGAAAGCCCUGGGCUCAACCUGGGAACUGCAUUCAAAACUGGCAGACUUGAGUUUGGCAGAGGCUAGUGGAAUUCCAGGUGUAGCGGUGAAAUGCGUAGAGAUCUGGAGGAACAUCAGUGGCGAAGGCGACUGGCUGGGCUAAAACUGACGCUGAAGUACGAAAGCGUGGGGAGCAAACA